AGGAAUAUUGGUCAAUGGACGCGAGUCUGAACCAGCCAAGUAGCGUGAAGGAUGACUGCCCUAUGGGUUGUAAACUUCUUUUAUAUGGGAAUAAAGUGGUCCACGUGUGGACUUUUGUAUGUACCAUAUGAAUAAGGAUCGGCUAACUCCGUGCCAGCAGCCGCGGUAAUACGGAGGAUCCGAGCGUUAUCCGGAUUUAUUGGGUUUAAAGGGAGCGUAGGCGGAUUGUUAAGUCAGUUGUGAAAGUUUGCGGCUCAACCGUAAAAUUGCAGUUGAUACUGGAUAUCUUGAGUGCAGUUGAGGCAGGCGGAAUUCGUGGUGUAGCGGUGAAAUGCUUAGAUAUCACGAAGAACUCCGAUUGCGAAGGCAGCCUGCUAAGCUGCAACUGACAUUGAGGCUCGAAAGUGUGGGUAUCAAACAGGAUUAGAUACCCUGGUAGUCCACACGGUAAACGAUGAAUACUCGCUGUUUGCGAUAUACUGCAAGCGGCCAAGCGAAAGCGUUAAGUAUUCCACCUGGGGAGUACGCCGGCAACGGUGAAACUCAAAGGAAUUGACGGGGGCCCGCACAAGCGGAGGAACAUGUGGUUUAAUUCGAUGAUACGCGAGGAACCUUACCCGGGCUUAAAUUGCAGAUGAAUUACGGUGAAAGCCGUAAGCCGCAAGGCAUCUGUGAAGGUGCUGCAUGGUUGUCGUCAGCUCGUGCCGUGAGGUGUCGGCUUAAGUGCCAUAACGAGCGCAACCCUUGUUGUCAGUUACUAACAGGUUCCGCUGAGGACUCUGACAAGACUGCCAUCGUAAGAUGUGAGGAAGGUGGGGAUGACGUCAAAUCAGCACGGCCCUUACGUCCGGGGCUACACACGUGUUACAAUGGGGGGUACAGAGGGCCGCUACCACGCGAGUGGAUGCCAAUCCCCAAAACCUCUCUCAGUUCGGACUGGAGUCUGCAACCCGACUCCACGAAGCUGGAUUCGCUAGUAAUCGCGCAUCAGCCACGGCGCGGUGAAUACGUUCCCG
Molecule: ribosomal RNA, 1016 nt
Filed under: uncultured bacterium
Lineage: Bacteria
Description: bacterial SSU rRNA
Rfam family: Bacterial small subunit ribosomal RNA
Source: RNAcentral